ACGUUUGAUCGAGCUUUAAAUAGUAUAAUUUAAAGCUAUUAAAGCUUAGAUUAAACGUCU
This 60-nucleotide microRNA precursor is filed under the name Strongyloides ratti. RNAcentral describes it as "microRNA str-mir-8372 precursor". Lineage: Eukaryota; Metazoa; Nematoda; Chromadorea; Rhabditida; Strongyloididae. The record is from miRBase by way of RNAcentral.